UGGGGCGGUCACCCGCUCCGUAGCCUGCUGGUCACUUUAAGACCCAGUCUCGUUCGUAAUUAACCCUGCCUCCUCAGGAAGCCACCGCUUAGCACGCUCGCUUAUAAACAGAAGCACAGGAGGCCUCGCUCUCCACGCCUCGCUGGAGAAAAGCUGGGUUAUCACAGAAAGCCACGGUAAGGCCUGAAGCCUUCUUGUGUCGGUGGCAGAGUGCUGACCAGGUAUUUGGGGGACGGUGGUGUCAUUUCCUUCCACCGGCAAAUCUGAAGUCACUUGAGAGACGUCUGAGCAACACUGUUUGCAGACACAGGAAAGGGCCAGAAGCUCACAUGAGGACAAGGCCCCUGCUGGAGCUCGGUCCUGUUGACCAGCCGUGUGACGGGCUGUCAGCGUCACCGUGUUUACACGAGGGAUUAAAUAAAUAGUCUCUGGGCAGCUGCUGGUUUUACUCUCCGCUUUUCAGACUCAGAAUGAUGUUCCAGAAGAGCGAGCCUCUGACCCAGUAUAUUGAGCAGAAGCAGCUUGGAGCACUGGGACUGGAACAAAGUAUGUGCCCAGUACCGGAGACACGUGGACGAAUCCAUGAACGACUGACCAGAUUACAGAUGCUCAGCUCGUGCUGAAAGGAAAGUGCUCAUGCGAGUGCAAAAAAGGACCCUUGCUUGCAGAACGCAGAUGAGAAAAAAGCACGCACUCUCCUCGGAGAGCUUGCGAACCUCACAUGCAUUUAACAAGUGGGAAGUGAAGGGAGAAAGAGAGGAAACAGUCACGCAGAGGAAACGGGAAAGGCAGGAACUGGAAGUAGCUGCUUCCUGUAUUAGUCCAUUAGACCGUGGCUCUGAGCGUGCCUCCUCCGAGUGGUCACCCCACAGCCUGAAGUUCCUGACGUCCCGGGCGUACGUCCUCUUCUCCCUCACCAAUGUCCCUGCUGUUUCAGGGCCCUUUUUCCCGAUGAAGAGGUGCUUUGGGUUCCCCUAGCUCUGCUGCUUGAGGGGGGCUGCUGAUCGGGGGAUUGAGGAAGGGUUCCGAGAGUACCAGGUAUGGGGGACAAGGUGGGACCGUGGGGCUGCAAAGCAGGAGGCAGAAGACGUCUGUUCACGGGGUCAUCACAGCAACACCUGCUCGUGCGGUCAUCAGAACAAUCGAUUCCGGCUUCAGAAAACAGGGCUGCCACAACCACACCAGGUGCAAAAUGAGCCCAGGUGAGGAAACGAAAGCUACCAGCUGGGAAUCUCUGUGAAAACCAGAUAAUUGGAUAGCUCUGCCGCCCUCACUUUGUGGCAAGACAAACCUGCAGUGACCUGAUAGCCUGAGAAAGGAUUUCCCGAGGCUUGAGCUCAUGACUCAACAACAAACCCCAGCAGAGGCUAAGGGAGAUUGUUGUUCAGGCUGACGGUGUGUUUCCUCUGCUGGACACGGCUACCAAGUUCUAGAAAGUGUAAGGAAGCAAAGAGGCCGCUGCAGAACGUAGAGGUAUUUUCGCAGAAAGUAAACUACGACGGGAAACUCGAUGUGGAUGCCGGUAGCAUAAGAAGCUUGGAAUGAACGUGACGUUGCUGUGAAGUAACCGAAGCUGAGAGAACUAGUUUUGCUACUUAACUGAGUAAACUGGGCGACCACCUCAUUUCCCCGGCCCCCGACGUCUUCCUCUCCUGUCGUUGUUGUUGAGGUGUGGUUGAUCUACAAUGUGGUGUGAGUUUCAGGGGCACAGCACAGGGUUCCGACACAUCAGUGUGCACAGGUGCACACCCGUGCGCUUCUACAGGCCCUUUCCCCUGGUCUCCUUUCUUCAGUCACCUCGUUCUUAUCUCCAGCCCUCUGCUUCCUGGUCCUUACUGUUCUCUAUCCAGAAUCAUUAGGUCUGUUCUACAGGGAAAGUCACCCCCUGCUUCCCCGGAAAAGCUGUCAGACAGGAGAGGAAGUGACAGAUUUCUCACCUACUACCAAGAAGGGGAAGGCGCUGAGCACCUAAAUGAGUCAUGAGUGUCCGCGUUCCACCUGUAAAUUCAGCCGCAUGCCUCACCCGUUUGCCUUGAUUUCCUCUUCCUCCACGGUCCCCAGGAAGGAGACCAUUUACUGCCCUAACAUAGGGCUCUGUUACACGGUCACUCCAUUUCCCAAGGGUCUUACUUCGACCCUGUCUGGUGGUGAAGGGCCCACGACUGUGCUCAGGCAACGCGGCAAUGAAUGGGUCGCUUACUGAAGUCUGCUCUCUCCUCCUCGUGGUCUCCGGAGGAGCUGUUACUUGGCAUCGCUUCCUGCAGUUGCACCAUUAAGGGGGUGUCACCAGGUCAACCACAAGGACCCUCACCUCCGAGAAAGUGGCAUGUUGUCAUUACACAACUGGCAUUUACAGAAACCAUCAACACGGCAAAACAGUGCACGGCUGUGUGCACAGCAAACAAACAGGAGUCAGGAGUCGGGGAGAAGUGGGUCUGAACCUCUGCACCUCUUCCAGCAGCCUGUUUCCUCACCCGGAAGAUGGGAAAACAGCAGUAUUUCCCUCACAGAGUCACUGCGAGGAUGAAGAAUGCACCUUGCACAUGGCGCGCUCCCUGGCAUCUCGCUUGUGCCUAUAGGCAGCUUCCCGGCUUUACAGCUUUACGAGUUAACCCGGCUACCCUGGCAGCGUCGAGAUGAGGCAGGUGAGGGAGCGUGACUGUCACCCCCAUUUCACAAAACAGUGAAAUCGGAUCGGACGGAUGAGCUGACGUGCACGUUCACGAAGCAGGUGGCGGAGCCGGCACUGAACCCCAGGGUCCCGGGGCCUCCGAGAUGCACACUCAUUCUCAUAGUGUGUCAGACUGUCUGUUGAUAGAAACCUCUUUUAUGACUCACAUAAAAGGAUUCUACUUGGUUCUAGCAUCGACCACGUGAAGCAGGCGGGCUAGACCUUGCUUUGCAAGUUGACAAACGAAGGCAGCAGAGCGGCAGGGACCCAGUGGGCGGCCUCUCACCCAGUUCCCCGCCCAGGGAACCAGCCCGCGACUCUGCCCCGAGAAACAAAGUCCUUCUUGAACCAGCGCAGAAUCUGGUGUUUCAGUUAGCUACCCCUGCCCUAAAGACCUCCAAAAAUUAACUAUUUUCCGUCUACAGAAGGCAAUUCCAGCAAGUCCCUCCCAGAAUUUCUUAAGGGGCCCUUUGGACAAGCUGCCUAAUAAACGCAGUCUGGAGACGCCACCUGGUCUCGGCUCCGCUUUGCAGACGCUGGAGGUGGAGGCGACGGCGGAGGCGUAGGGAGGGUGCGCACUGGCCCCGGGCCACCUGCGCGGCAGCGCGGGAGGGUCCCCGACGGCCCUUUGCAGACCCAGCUGGGCGGGGCUGCCCCCGCCCGGGAGAGGAGACGCUGUGGCGCCGUGGGAGCGCUGGUAAUUCUGCAACCAGCAGAUGGAAGGGCAGAGAGAGAUCACCAGGAACCCUCUCAUUGCGAGAAGCGUCAGAACUGGAUUUGAUGGUCAAGUAAGGUCUCACCUCUGAUGAAAAGCAUCCAUCACGUCUGGCUCAGUCACCCGCGGUGCCGCGCCUGCAGCCAGCUCUGCCUUAGACUCCCAGUUAUCUGACACCAUUCGUUUCCUUUGUUUAAGUCAGUUUGGGGCAAAAGCAUCCCUGGACAUAAUGAGGGAAAGAACGGAACCAAAGAGCAUAACAGACAACACGUUUGUCUGAGCCUUAAAUAGAAAAACACUGCUGGUGGGAAUGCAGUUUGGUGCAGCCACUGUGGAAAACAGUGUGGAGAUUCCUCAAAAGACUAGGAAUAGACUGACCAUAUGACCCAGGAAUCCCACUCCUGGGCUUGUAUCCAGAAGGAAUCCUACUUCAGGAUGACACCUGCACCCCAAUGUUCAUAGCCGCACUAUUUACAACAGCCAAGACAUGGAAACAACCUAAAUGUCCACCAACAGAUGACUGGAUAAAGAAGAUGUGGUAUGUUUAUAUGAUGGAAUACUAUUCAGCCAUAAAAACUGACAACAUAACGCCAUUUGCAGCAACAUGGAUGUUCCUGGAGAAUGUCAUUCUAAGUGAAAUAAGCCAGAAAGAGAAAGAAAAAUACCAUAUGAGAUCGCUCAUAUGUGGAAUCUAAAAAAAAAAACAUAAAUACAAAACAGAAACAGACUCAUAGACAUACAAUACAAACUUGUGGUUGCCAAUGGGGUGGGAAGGGACAGACUGGGAUUUCAAAAUGUAGAAUAGAUAAACAAUAUUAUACUGUACAGCACAGGGAAAUAUAUACAAGAUCUUAUGGUAGCUCACAGAGAAAAAAAAGUGACAAUGAAUGUAUGCAUGCUCAUGUAUAACUGGAAAAUGUGCUCUACACUGGAAAUUGACACAACAUUGUAAAAUGACUAUAACUCAAUAAAAAAAAGUUAAAUAAAUAAAUAAAACUGUUC
Long non-coding RNA from Camelus dromedarius (Arabian camel), 4388 nucleotides. RefSeq lists it as uncharacterized. The record is from RefSeq and is a predicted model, not a curated record. The transcript has 5 exons. NCBI's taxonomy places the organism in Eukaryota, Metazoa, Chordata, Mammalia, Artiodactyla, Camelidae.